RNAcentral lists this ribosomal RNA (450 nucleotides) under uncultured bacterium. RNAcentral describes it as "bacterial SSU rRNA". It matches the Rfam family "Bacterial small subunit ribosomal RNA", at positions 328 to 792 of the family's 1533-position model. The record is from RNAcentral.
GCCCCAGACUCCUACGGGAGGCAGCAGUGGGGAAUAUUGGGCAAUGGGCGCAAGCCUGACCCAGCAACGCCGCGUGAAGGAAGAAGGCUUUCGGGUUGUAAACUUCUUUUCUCAGGGACGAAGCAAGUGACGGUACCUGAGGAAUAAGCCACGGCUAACUACGUGCCAGCAGCCGCGGUAAUACGUAGGUGGCAAGCGUUAUCCGGAUUUACUGGGUGUAAAGGGCGUGUAGGCGGGACUGCAAGUCAGAUGUGAAAACCACGGGCUCAACCCCCGAACUGCAUUUGAAACUGUAGGUCUUGAGUAUCGGAGAGGCAGGCGGAAUUCCUAGUGUAGCGGUGAAAUGCGUAGAUAUUAGGAGGAACACCAGUGGCGAAGGCGGCCUGCUGGACGACAACUGACGGUGAGGCGCGAAAGCGUGGGGAGCAAACAGGAUUAGAUACCCCUGUA